CUGGCGGCGUACUUAACACAUGCAAGUCGUACGAGAAAAGAGACUUCGGUCUCCGAGUAAAGUGGCGACGGGUGCGUAACACGUAAGUAAUCUACCUCAGGCUUCAGAAUAACUUUUCGAAAGGAGAGCUAAAACUGGAUAAGCUCCUGUUGUACAGGCAGUGGGUGGAAAACUAGCCUCUGACCUAUGCUAGUGGCUUGAGAUGAGCUUGCGGCCCAUUAGCUAGUUGGUAGAGUAACAGCCUACCAAGGCAACGAUGGGUAGCUGGUCUGAGAGGAUGGCCAGCCACACUGGCACUGAGAUACGGGCCAGACUCCUACGGGAGGCAGCAGUGGGGAAUUUUGCGCAAUGGGCGAAAGCCUGACGCAGUAACGCCGUGUGGAGGACGAAGGCCUUCGGGUUGUAAACUCCUGUCAGAGGGAACGAAGGUGGUCAGGAUGAAUAGUCUUACUGCCUGACGGUACCCUCAAAGGAAGCCCCGGCUAAUUCCGUGCCAGCAGCCGCGGUAA
Molecule: ribosomal RNA, 509 nt
Filed under: uncultured delta proteobacterium
Lineage: Bacteria; Deltaproteobacteria
Description: bacterial SSU rRNA
Rfam family: Bacterial small subunit ribosomal RNA
Source: RNAcentral